CACGAUGAAUUUAAGCAUAUUAGCGGAGGAAAAAAAACUAACCAGGAUUCCCUCAGUAACAGUGAGUGAACAGGGA
This 76-nucleotide non-coding RNA is filed under the name Myotis lucifugus (little brown bat). RNAcentral's name for it is "Eukaryotic large subunit ribosomal RNA". It matches the Rfam family "Eukaryotic large subunit ribosomal RNA", at positions 24 to 103 of the family's 3401-position model. The record is from Rfam by way of RNAcentral. Lineage: Eukaryota; Metazoa; Chordata; Mammalia; Chiroptera; Vespertilionidae.